GAAAUUGAUGGAAACAACCAUACAGAUUUGGACUCUGACUUAGGACCUGUCAUUAAAUCUUUCUGUGAUCUUGGGCAGGUUGUGACAUCAGAAAGUUGAUAGACGUGAUCGCUAAGAAUCUUGCCGGAUAUUCUAGGACUGCAAGUAAAAGAGACCCUAUUUUCUGUGCUGGGAAAAGCAUCUGAGUGGACCUAACACAGGGCAGUGAAAGUGAUGCAGAACAAACUUCAAAGCCUCCAGGAGCACACGUGACCUCAGAAAAUGAACAGAAACAACCUAGCUCUCCGAAGAGGAGUAUUUCAUUCAACUCCGAACUGCUCACACAUUAUGCAACUGUGAACAAGGCUCAUUUCAAAAUCCAUGAAGCUUCUAAUGUUUUCACCACAAAAUAUAUUAAGUAUUGAGGUGCUGGAUAUGUUGACUAGUUUGAUUUAAUUAUUCCACAUUAUAUGCAUAAAUAGUAACAUCACCUUGUUCCCCAUAAAAUUAUACAAUUAAAAAUUGUCAAUUUGCAAUUA
Molecule: long non-coding RNA, 518 nt
Filed under: Gorilla gorilla gorilla (western lowland gorilla)
Lineage: Eukaryota; Metazoa; Chordata; Mammalia; Primates; Hominidae
Description: lncRNA (ENSGGOG00000044256.1)
Source: RNAcentral